UUGCGGUUAAAAAGCUCGUAGUUGGAUUUCGGGCGUGGAGGUUCGGUCCGCCGUUUCGGUGUGCACUGUCUUUCUGCGUCUUUCUGUCGGGGACGCGCUUCUGGCCUUAAUUGGCUGGGACGUGGAUUCGACGAGGUUACUUUGAAAAAAUUAGAGUGUUCAAAGCAAGCUAAAGCUCUGAAUACAUUAGCAUGGAAUAACGCGAGAGGACUCGGUCCUUAUUUUGUUGGUCUUCAAGGAUGGAGUAAUGAUUAAGAGGGACAGUUGGGGGCAUUCGUAUUUCAUUGCUAGAGGUGAAAUUCUUGGAUUUAUGAAAGACGAACUUCUGCGAAAGCAUUUGCCAAGGAUGUUUUCAUUGAUCAAGAACGAAAGUUGGGGGCUCGAAGAUGAUCAGAUACCAUCCUAGUCUCAACCAUAAACGAUGCCGACUAGGGAUUGGCAGGUGUUACAUCGAUGACUCUGCCAGCACCUUAUGAGAAAUCCAAAGUUUUUGGGUUCCGGGGGGAGUAUGGUCGCAAGGCUGAAACUUAAAGGAAUUGAC
Molecule: ribosomal RNA, 541 nt
Filed under: uncultured marine eukaryote
Lineage: Eukaryota
Description: SSU rRNA
Rfam family: Eukaryotic small subunit ribosomal RNA
Source: RNAcentral